UCGGGAUUGAUCUGGAUGUUGAACCGGGACCUUUGAUUUCUACUGACCUGCGCACGAAAACAACCGUAUGCUGAGUAUUUCAUACUCAGUGGUAUUACCAUAAUUCAACAUAUAUAACUUUUAUGAAUUAUAAAUAUUAAUCAUAUAACAUUAAACAUGUAAAAUUUAUAACUUAUAAGAACUAAUUUACAUUCAGUUUCAUAUUUCAUAUAAUAAUUCAUCAACAAUGUUAUAUAUUAAUAACAUGAAUUUGCUCAAUUCAUGAACCUUAGGUUCAUGCUUUCAAAUUUCACAAUUCGACUAACAAUUUAUUUCUUAUACUUUCAGUUGUACGAUCAAUCAAAUUUAUUCAAUUCUCACAUUUCGAUUAUUCACCCUAUUAACAAACCUGAACCUUGGCGGAUACACGGAUUCCAACCAAACACAUCAGUACGGCACAUUGUGCCUAAAACAGUACUCAGUACCCGAUCAACAUAUCAGAAGCAGUAUACGACACAUAAAGUGCCUGAAACGACACACGUUGUAACACCCUUACCCGUAUCCGUCGCCGGAAUAAGAUACGAGGUAUUACCAGAUUUUACUGAUUUUUUUUAAAACUCAAUAUAACCCCUUUAUAAAUAUCUAAUCCUCCCUGCAAAUUUUAAACCGAGACCAAGCCAACACAACCAAUCCAUUUCAACAUAUUUUCAAGAUAGAUUUAUUGUAUUCAUAAGAUAAUCUCAUCACAUGCCAAAACCAAAAUUUGUUAGCCAUACCAAUGGCUAACCAUACAUUCAUUCCACAUUAACAUCUACUUUACUAGCUUAUACAUGCCAUUGAUUUCCAAAAUAAGUUCUUUAUGUACCGAGAUCUUGACGUUGAUAGUGUGAUGUGUCUCUGACCAAAUCCGACCUCCGAGCUCUUAACUCUACAAACAGGGGAAAAAGAAACAGGGUAAGCACUUUGUGCUUAGUAAGCUCAUGUAACAGGAAUUAUACUUACCUAAUUUUUUUUUAUACAAUGCAAUAAACAUUCAUACAUCAUUCAAUACAUUAUUCCCCUAUCAUGCACAAACUCAACAUUCAAAUUAGUCCAAUAAUUUCCACGUAUCAAUAAUUUAUAUCAUGAUUGAUGAGCUCAUCAAUUCCAUGAUUUCCAUUUCCUUGUUAUUUUUCCAUAUUCAUCUCGUUGAACUACUUGGAAUUUCGAUGGAUUUUCAGAGGUACACCAAAGUGUACAAAUUCCGGGUCCGUCAAUUCAUAUUCAUGUGCGCACAUUUCCAUUUCAGAGAGCACACUCCCGCGAACCUCAUCCUUACAGCGGGAUUACCAGUCCAGGCUAAAUCCCCUGUAAUAUAAACUCACAGAGUAUUGCCGGGAUUACCAGUCCAGGCUAAAUCCCCUGCAACGACAAUUACUCUAAUGAGCUUGGAUCUGAAUUACCAGUCCAGGCUAAAUUCAGACCCUAAUUCGGAUUACCCGUCCGGGCUAAAUCCAUUUUCCACAUAUUCUUCGGGAGGGCUAUAUCAGAAUAGGAUCACCCGUCCGGGCUAGAUCCUUUUUACCGUCAAUUCCUUUUCAGAGAUCCAUCGAAUUUUCCUUUCAUUCAACGGAGAUUUAUUUCCUCUUUUCAUCAAGAAUAUCAAUACUUCAUCAAUUAUCAUACAAUAAACAUCCAAAUCAUAUUCACAUCAAUAACAAACAUUUCAAGCAUUUAUGAAUAUAAUUCAAGUUACACGAACUUACCUCGACACUUGUUCGUAACCAAAAAUCUACUAAUCCUGAACUUUUUCUUUUCCUCGAUCUUGCUUCGUAUUUGAAUUUUCCGGAUCUAAAUAAAUAAAUUUAAUCAUUAAUCUAAUACUUUUCAUGUUCAUAUGUAACAUUCUCUAGAAUUCCAUUAUUAUUUAUAGUGCAUUCAAAGUUGUCUCACUGAGUCACAGUAACUAAAUUAUUUAUAUCUUGAGCUACGGAACUCCAAAUUAAGAUCCGCUAAUUUUCCCUGAAACUAGACUCACAUAUCUUCUUAUCAUAAAAUUUUCAGAAUUUUUAGUUUAGCCAAUAAGUACAGUUUAUUCUUUAAAGUUUCCCCUGUUUCACUGUUCAACAGUUCCGACCUCUUCUUCACUAAAAAUUAAUUAUCUCAUAGUACAGAAUUCGGAUGAUGUUUCCAUUUGUUUCUUCUGAAAAUAGACUCACUAAGGAUUCUAAGCAUAUAAAUUAUAACUCAUAAUCAUUUUUGUACAAUUUUUAAUGAUUUUCAAAAGUCAGAACAGGGGAACCCGAAUUCAUCCUGACCUUGUCUCACAAAAUCUAUUAUAUCUCAUGAUUUACAAUUCCAUUGCUUACACCGUUUCUUUUAUAAGAAACUAGACUCAAUAAGCUUUAAUUUCAUAUUUUAUUCACCCUCUAAUUCGAUCUCUACAAUUUUUGGUGAUUUUUCAAAGUUAGAGUACUGCUGCUGUCCAAAACUGUUUUAGUGUAUGAUGUUAAUUACCAUUUUCCCCUAAACUUUCAAUAAAUGAUAAUUUCAUCUCUGCUCAAUUAACCUCUCAAUUGAGCUGAUUUUUCUCAAUUAACACUAUAUUUCAUUACUUUAAAGUACUUUAUAACCUUUGGAAAUCAUAAUUUUAGCACUAGACUUUAAUUCCAAACUUUUUCACAAUUAGGUCCUACAAAUCAAUUUCUAUUGAAAUUACCUAAUAAAAUCAUCUCACAACAAAUUAAAGCUUCAAUUUCAUCCUAUUUCAUCAUAAACUUCCAGCACAUAUUCAUAGAAACUUUCAAGUUCAUUCACAAAAUCAAAAACUAAUGAAUUUAGUAAUAGGACCUAGUUGUAAAAGUCUUAGAAACACAAAAAUUACAAGAAAAAGGCAAGAAUUAACUCACUUGGGGCAAAAAUUAUGAAAAACCCUUAGGACGUUUUUGGCUGAUGGGAAUGCAAAAAAAUAAAGAGGAAUCUAGAUAAUUCCACUUUAGUCCUAACUUUUAAAGCAAAUUUUGCAAUAUUCCAAUUUUACCCUUAAUUCUUCAAUUCUCCUGAUUUUUCUCAGCGUAUGCUGCCCAAAAUAUCUCCUUUUGGGGUUAUUUUCAAUUUAUGUCCCUCUUCAUUUAACAAUUGAGCUAUUUAAUCCUUCUAGUAACUUUUACACAUUUUUCAAUUUAGUCCUUUUCACUUAAUUGACUACCCAAACAUUAAAAUUUUCUAACGAAAUUUUAAUACCAUAUUUCUAACACUUCAUAAAUAUUUAUAAAAAUAUUUUUGACUCGGUUUUACGAGAUCGAAGUCUCGAUACCUUAUUUUUACCCAAUUUCUUCUAUAAUUUCUUUUUCUAACUAACCACUAAAUCGGUAAAAUUUUUCUAUCGAUAUUUUCAUACGAUUUUCCUAUCAUAUCAAUAUUCAUGCAAAAAAAAAUAUAAAAAUAAAUUUAUCUUUAAAUCGGAUUUGUGGUUACGAAACCACUAUUCCGAUAGCUUUGAAUCUGGGCCAUUACACACGUGGUGCCUAAUACGACACAUAUAGUGCCUGAUUGGCAAAGCCGAUAAAUUACCGUACUCUUCCAAUCCUAUGGCAUGCCAACUGUAUCCGACUAAGCCCGAUUAGUUAAUAAGGUAUUCAAAUCACUUUCUCAAUUUCAAUUUCAGUUUCAAUGUACAAAUCAAUUCGAUACAAUUUUCCACUUUCCAACAAUAUACUAUCAAAUAUUCAUAUAUAAUCAUACUUCAUCUCAAAUUCAUUCAUUUCAAUAUUGAUACCUACCUUAAAAUUUUACUUACCAUAUACAUAAAUUUAAAUAUAACAUUUAAUAAAUAGUAGUUUGAAUUAUAGUAAUACAAACCGUGAAUUUCUCGUUUUAGUCCUCGAUAGCCCUCUCCUUUCCUUUGUGUGUCGAUGCCUCGGGUUCUUUGUUAGCUACGAAAAUAAUAAUAAAUUUUUUCAUUAUUAAUACAACACUAAUUUACAAUAAUUAAUUGAAUUCCUUUUCAAUUUAUACCCUAACUCCAAUUUAAUCCUAAUUAACUCAUUUACUUUUCUAACUCAAUUCACACUUCAUUUCUACUUAAUAUCUUGCCAUGUUCAACUUAACUAUUCAAUGUUCAUAUUAAAAUCUUAAUUUUAAACUUCUUUCAAUUUAAUCCCUACUAUGUAAAACUUAUAACCUAGUUUGCAAUUUUAAUCCUUUAAUCAAUUCUAACUUGAAAUUCAUUCAAUUAAACCCCUAAUUCAUUAUUUUGUUCAACAUGAACUAACUUCAAAAACCUAAGAACUUUCAAAACUUCAACUUAAUUUCAACAAAACUUUGUUCUAAAGCUUCUAAAAUAUCAAAAUUAAGAGAAAAGGACUUAAUUGACUUACCUUUUAAACUUUAAAACCUUAAACCCUAGUUUUUCGUUUUCUUUUUCUUUUCUUCUUUCCUUUCUCC
This 4404-nucleotide long non-coding RNA is filed under the name Gossypium raimondii (Peruvian cotton). RNAcentral's name for it is "long non-coding RNA (GRAI_LNC009415)". Lineage: Eukaryota; Viridiplantae; Streptophyta; Magnoliopsida; Malvales; Malvaceae. The record is from RNAcentral.